Molecule: non-coding RNA, 685 nt
Organism: Sus scrofa (pig)
Lineage: Eukaryota; Metazoa; Chordata; Mammalia; Artiodactyla; Suidae
Source: RefSeq, a predicted model, not a curated record
GGAGAGAAGAGCCAAGAGCCCCAUUCAGGAAGUCUGCCCAUGGCCACCUACUGCCACCCCGGUAACAGUGCCCACGGGCCAAACCAGAGGCACCCCCGUCUCAAGAAUGCGAGCCAACAGGUGGAGGGACUGCACGCGCCCGGACCACGCUCUGCCUCCGUUUCCUCUUCCACAAAAUGAGGAAACAGUUUCACAGAGAUGAUGUCACCUCCUUAAAAUCACAUUACAGGUGACUGCUCAUCACAUAGAGAAGCUCUGCCACUUCCUGCCCCACCCCUGUGGAUCUUCUCCGCACCUGCCCUAGUGCCGCUCCAUCCCUCCGGGCUCCUCAUUCCAGAGCCAACCCAGGUACCCUGACUCAGCAAAGUAACAAUGAACAUCCUCCUCCUCCAGGAAGCCUUCCAGGAUUGGACUGCCUUAAGGAACUUCUUCCCACUGUCUUUCUCCAAGGUGUGGCUGGAGCUAAGAGGGAGCCUGGAGAGAGAAGACUUGUCCAAACACCCCUGUUUUAAAUAUGGGUGGGUUAAAUCCAGGAUGCUCAGUUAAAUCUGAAUUUUAGAUAAACAGUAUGAAUAAUAUUUUAGUGUAAGAAUGCCCCAAAUAUUCAUGGGACAUACUUAGACUUAAAAAAUAUUUAUUUUUAUCUUGGAGUUCCUGUCAUAGCACAGCAGAAAUGAAUCCGACU